AACAAGCAGUUCCCCAAGACGAUGCUCUGUGGUUUAACAACUGUGGUUAUUCUGUCUACAAGUCAGAUAGAACUCAACAGAAGGACUGUAGCGAUGGCGGAGGAGGAGGUCAGCUACGCUUCAGUUGUAUUCAAAACUAACAAGCGUUCCCCACCUGAAGCUAAUAAUGAGGAGGAAACUGUGUACAGUGAUGUGAAGGUGCGAAGCAAAACAACCGAAAAGACUGCUGACACAAACACAGGACUUUUGCCAGACAAGAAAACAAAACAGCAGAGGUCGCUGCUAUCAGCAGGUGGCUUGUUGUUUGGGGAUUCUUUGUGUCAUUUUGCUGUUGGGCAUCAUAGCAGUCUGUGUCUACAAAAACCAGAACCUGACAUCACAAAACACCAAGCUGUCUGCAGAAAACCAGAACCUGACAUCACAAAACACCAAGCUGUCUGCAGAAAACCAGAACGUGACAUCACAAAACACCAAGCUGUCUGCAGAAAACCAGAACCUGACAUCACAAAACACCAAGCUGUCUGCAGAAAACCAGGAGCUGAAGACAAAGAGGAAUGAGCUCAACGUCAGUCGAGCUCAGUGGAGCAUUGAUGCCUACUGCCCAAAAGAAAACCAAAACAGACAGUGUAACGCUUGUCAGGAUGGUUGGACACUCUCAGAAUCCAGCUGCUAUGCGAUUAAUAACCCUGGUGUUUCUGGUCAGAAAACCUGGGAAGAAGCUCGAGAAAACUGCAGAGGAAAGAUUUCAGAUCUGGUUGUUAAACUUGAUCAAAAGGAGAAGAAAUAUGUCAACUUUAACUGGGGCAGUUAUGACUACUGGAUUGGCCAGAGAGCUGAAGCUGGAAAUUGGACGUGGAUCAAUGGAACUAUUCUAAAGACUCAAGACUACUGGACAAAAGCACCUUCUGGUGAAGCUCAUUGUGUGAUUUCUAUCAGAGGGACACCUUCCAAGAAAUGGAAAGCUGUGAAGUGUGAUGAGAAACAUCGAUGGAUCUGUGAGAAGAAAGCUUUAUCUGUUUAAGAUCUGUAAUCAGAACUGAAGAGAUUACUGGAUAGUCUGCACAGAUGAAUGACGCGUACAAUAACAUCAGCUGGCUUGUAAAAAAGAAAAUGUGUAAAAUUCUACUUAAGAAUUUGCUGGAUUUAGCCAGCACAAAAAAAGACAGAUCUUUGUGUGUGUAUAUAUGUAAUACAGUUUUGGAUUACUGAUCAGUUUUUAGAAAACUACAGUGUCAACAGGGGGCGCUAAAGUGCUAAUAACAUCAAAUAUGGAUUUCUUUUACUUUGAUAGAGCCAAAUGUAGAGGUGUAUGUGCAUGUAGAGGUGACAGGUUUGAUGUUCUCUAUCUGCCUUAUAUGUUUCUAUCUUAAAGCAGCUAGUGAAUAAAUAUGUUACGCUGUGACAUGUUUAAGAA
Molecule: long non-coding RNA, 1414 nt
Organism: Micropterus salmoides (largemouth bass)
Lineage: Eukaryota; Metazoa; Chordata; Actinopteri; Centrarchiformes; Centrarchidae
Exons: 7
Source: RefSeq, a predicted model, not a curated record